Molecule: non-coding RNA, 38 nt
Organism: Schistosoma rodhaini
Lineage: Eukaryota; Metazoa; Platyhelminthes; Trematoda; Strigeidida; Schistosomatidae
Source: Rfam
UGCUGAGGAGUCCCAUAAUAGGACGAAAUGGCCGUCCA